UCACAGUUUGCACUGGCAGUCUUGUUAGAGUUCCCGACUUGACUCGCUGGCAACUAACAACAGGGGUUGCGCUCGUUAUAGGACUUAACCUGACACCUCACGGCACGAGCUGACGACAACCAUGCAGCACCUUGUAAUCUGCCCGAAGGAAAAACCGUUUCCGGUCCUGUCAGACUACAUUUAAGCCUUGGUAAGGUUCCUCGCGUAUCAUCGAAUUAAACCACAUGCUCCACCGCUUGUGCGGGCCCCCGUCAAUUCCUUUGAGUUUCAUUCUUGCGAACGUACUCCCCAGGUGGGAUACUUAUCACUUUCGCUUAGCCACUGAGUCUUGCGACCCAACAGCUAGUAUCCAUCGUUUACGGCGUGGACUAC
This 372-nucleotide unclassified non-coding RNA is filed under the name uncultured Flavobacteriaceae bacterium. RNAcentral's name for it is "contains 16S-23S intergenic spacer region". The record is from RNAcentral. Lineage: Bacteria; Pseudomonadati; Bacteroidota; Flavobacteriia; Flavobacteriales; Flavobacteriaceae.